CACGUAGGGGCCAAGCGUUGUCCGGAUUUAUUGGGCGUAAAGAGCUCGUAGGCGGCUCGGUAAGUCGGGUGUGAAACCUCCAGGCUCAACCUCGAGACGCCGGCGGAAACCAUCAGGCUAGAGUCCGGAAGAGGAGAGUGGAAUUCCUGGUGUAGCGGUGAAAUGCGCAGAUAUCAGGAAGAACACCCGUGGCUAAGGCGGCUCUCUAGUACGGUACUGACGCUGAGACGCGAAAGCGUGGGGAGCGAACAGG
RNAcentral lists this ribosomal RNA (253 nucleotides) under uncultured bacterium. RNAcentral describes it as "partial 16S ribosomal RNA". It matches the Rfam family "Bacterial small subunit ribosomal RNA", at positions 524 to 776 of the family's 1533-position model. The record is from RNAcentral.